Molecule: ribosomal RNA, 253 nt
Filed under: uncultured bacterium
Lineage: Bacteria
Description: partial 16S ribosomal RNA
Rfam family: Bacterial small subunit ribosomal RNA
Source: RNAcentral
UACAGAGGUGGCAAGCGUUGUUCGGAAUUACUGGGCGUAAAGGGCGCGUAGGCGGUCCUGUAAGUCUUGUGUGAAAUCCCUCGGCUUAACUGAGGAACUGCACGAGAUACUGCGAGACUUGAGUUCGGGAGAGGAAAGCGGAAUUCCGGGUGUAGCGGUGAAAUGCGUAGAUAUCCGGAGGAACACCGGUGGCGAAGGCGGCUUUCUGGACCGACACUGACGCUGAGGCGCGAAAGCUAGGGGAGCAAACGGG